UGUACUUGCUCUUCUGGUACGCAGAAUUGGUUAGGCAAAAACAACUACUCCCUGCAGUAAGAAAUGCCCUGUCCGGAGAAAAAGCCCCAAUAGAAUUGGUCGCAUCUUCCACGACAACUUUCACAUUACUGGUAAUCUACUACUGACAUUCUUCAAUGCUUUCUAAUAAUUCAAAUUGCACUCUCUUUUUUUCCAACCCAUAUGGUUUCAAAUAGAAAUGUCAAAUACAUUGCAGGCUGUUAUCCAUUUAUCCUUUGCCAGAAUCAUGGCUAAUUUAUAUAUUUUUUAAAAAAAUUUACUUAUAUGUGCACAGUAUCUGUAUACGAACUUAAACUGGAUUGGCAAUAACAAUAGGCAUGUUGUCAUCUAUUAAUAGAAUUCAAGUAAACAACUUGCUAAAAAUAACGUGACAUAUAUACUGUUACUUACCUUCUUGGAAUUUUCAAAUUAAAAACUCUACGGUCAUUUAGACUUAAUAUUCCUUAUUCUUUCCCUUUGCUUACACCAGAUUGACCUCCUAAAAUUAGAUGUCCUAACUUGCUGCUGUUUAAUUAAAUUACCUUUCCUAAUUCCUUUUGUCUAAUACACAUUUCUAUCUUCUAUUUUUUUUCUCUUUCCUUUGAUUGUAUUUACUUUUUUAUUUUUUUUAUACUUUUUUAAUUUUUUAUAACUUUUGUACAAUAGCUCUACAAAGCAGUUGUGGAUCAUCUGGCACUGUUACAAGAACACUAUGUUUGUACAAGGACCAUCUCCAAUCGCACUCCUCCAUGCUGCGGCUUCUGAAUGCCAUUUACCAUAUGCAUCUUUCAUCACUGAAAUUGCAGACAGUUGGACAAUAUUAUGUGGUGUCGAAUUGGAAUUGCCACAGUUGGAACUCAUAGGACCACGCCAUGAGCUUUUUUUUCUGGCAAACGGCAUAUUUAGAUCUUAAUGAUGCAUAUGAAAAAGCAUGUCUCAAAGCAGUUUCCUUUCUGCAGCUUUUUUAUAACCUCACAAUAACAAAUUAUUACUGUGAUGGACAAAUUACUCAAAGAGAAGUUAGAAAUGAAAAUUUUCCCACACUCACACUAGAUUACUACCCGUCAAAAGUGAACUACGUAUGCAAUGGUAGUAGCACGCUGCAUCCCAAACGUACACACAACUAAAUAUGUUCUUGCCACUUUUUCUUGAAUCAAUAUCACUUAUUUCUAUGCCUAAGAAUAGUACCUCACAAUUACCAUCAAUAUUUCAUGUCACUUUAUUUUUUUAUUUUUCCCCUUUAUUUUGUUCCCUGUUUUAUUUUUUCCCCCUUUUAUUUUAUUUCCUCUUUCCCUAUCUAUGUGCUUUAUCUUCUUGCUGAUACAUUCCCCUUUAAUUAAUAGUAACUGUUAAUCAGUUACUCAUGUAUCCAACUAUGUAGACUAAUAUUUGUAUCGUAUCAAUUACUAGACAUUUAAUUUUA
Panicum virgatum (switchgrass) is the source of this 1441-nucleotide long non-coding RNA. RefSeq lists it as uncharacterized. NCBI's taxonomy places the organism in Eukaryota, Viridiplantae, Streptophyta, Magnoliopsida, Poales, Poaceae. The record is from RefSeq and is a predicted model, not a curated record. The transcript has 2 exons.